AACGCACAUUGCGCCCGCCAGUAUUCUGGCGGGCAUGCCUGUUCGAGCGUCAUUUCAACCCUCAAGCCCCCUGUGGACUUGGUGUUGGGGACCGGCGACAAUCACCUGUCGCCGCCCCCUAAAUGAAUUGGCGGCCCCGUCGCGGCCCUCCUCUGCGUAGUAGCAUACACCUCGCAACAGGAGCCCGUCGGUGGCCACUGCCGUAAAACACCCCAAACUUUUUUAGAGUUGACCUCGAAUCAGGUAGGAAUACCCGCUGAACUUAA
Molecule: unclassified non-coding RNA, 266 nt
Filed under: Parvacoccum sp.
Lineage: Eukaryota; Fungi; Ascomycota; Leotiomycetes; Rhytismatales; Rhytismataceae
Also listed under: 1 other name
Description: partial contains 5.8S ribosomal RNA, internal transcribed spacer 2, and large subunit ribosomal RNA
Rfam family: 5.8S ribosomal RNA (bases 1-52)
Source: RNAcentral